AAAACUAUGAUUAAGAAUUUGAGCUCUAUAAAUAUAUAUAUACCUCAAUGGUAAUCUAUAUGUUUUUCUCUCCUACAUUCUUAAAGACUUCCAUCAGAAUAUAUAUAGAGUGGAUGAUCUUAAAGAUAGAAAUAUUUCAGCUCACUCAAACGAUUCUAAAAGAAAGAAAAUGUAAAUGCUUUUGAAAGAAACUGAGCUUCAAAUGAAUCAUUUUCUGAUUAAUAUUUCUAUACGUUUUCUCUAAGAUUAAGAGAAAGCAUAACUUGUUCUUGAAGGAUUAGAAAGAGUAAUUGCUAUAAAUUUUGAAUAAU
RNAcentral lists this long non-coding RNA (311 nucleotides) under Phoenix dactylifera (date palm). RNAcentral's name for it is "long non-coding RNA (PDAC_LNC002895)". The record is from RNAcentral. Lineage: Eukaryota; Viridiplantae; Streptophyta; Magnoliopsida; Arecales; Arecaceae.